Molecule: unclassified non-coding RNA, 250 nt
Filed under: plant metagenome
Description: partial contains small subunit ribosomal RNA, internal transcribed spacer 1, and 5.8S ribosomal RNA
Source: RNAcentral
GUAGGUGAACCUGCGGAAGGAUCAUUAUCGUGGGGCUUCGGCCCUAUCGAGAUAGAACCCUUGCCUUUUUUGUACCUUCUGUUGCCUCGGCGUCUGCUUCACGGCGGCGCCAACGGGGCCAAAUAAUAAACUCUUUUUUAUCAUGAAAUAGUCUGAAAAAAAAAUAAAAGUUAAAACUUUCAACAACGGAUCUCUUGGUUCUGGCAUCGAUGAAGAACGCAGCAUCUGACUGACUUCAGUACGAGGCAUC